Molecule: long non-coding RNA, 1394 nt
Filed under: Sus scrofa (pig)
Lineage: Eukaryota; Metazoa; Chordata; Mammalia; Artiodactyla; Suidae
Description: lncRNA (ENSSSCG00060029012.1)
Source: RNAcentral
GGUGGAGGGGACCAUUCCUGGCUUCUGUUGUGGCGUCUUUUCUAUUUGACUUCAUGGUUGUAAGUAUUUCCAGAUGGUGAAUCAGACACCAGACGUAACAAUAUUUCCAUAUUUGGGUAUAGCAGUAGCCUGCGUUUUUAACAUUUUUCUGCCUCUGUUAUCCAACCACAAAGCAUUCUUGACAGCUUCAAAUGUUGUUAAAUAUAGACUUAACUUCUGUUCCCAGAGCAGGAAAUUCUUUGGAAUUCCUUGUUUUUCACGCAAUCUGUCUAUCAUAAUUGAAAAUAAAAUCGCAGUGGAUGAUCCAACUGGCUCCUGUAUGCACCUUGCUCCUUUAUUGAAGUUCGGGGCGCUGGGGGGGGGGUGCUCGAAGAGAUUCAGUCUGCCGCACAGCAUUCAAACACAACCAUUCCAGAGAUUUCUUUGAAAAUCAGAUUAAAGUUCUAACAAGUGUGCGUGGAUCCGUUCUGGGGACUCCACCUGGGGACUCCUGGAGAGAUGCUUUGCCCCAGAGGAGAAGUUACAGUACCUCACCCGCAGCUGCCCUUUACAGCAGGGGUGUGCUGUGCUGUGCUGUGCGAGGGGGUGGGAAGUGGGACCAAACAGGGCCAGGAGGUGGGGGAGCGGGAGAGACGGGCGAAACCUAUGCGCGCAGCCUUCCAUAUCCUAGGUCCCGGCGCGCCGGCUGGGAGACGGCAGCAUCAGGCUAGAGGCACCGCCGCUCCUCGCCCUGCUGGGGCCAGAAACCCCAGCCAUGCCGUCGCCUUCUGGCCUCCUCCGCUGAGAGCGGCAGAUCGGGUCCCGCUGACAGAUCGGAGGGCAAAAGUGCAAACGUCGCGGCUCCUGGCGUUGGGCUGAGCGACGGGAACGUCUCUUGCCGCUGCUGCCAGGGAAUUUUGGGUCACCAAAAGAAGGGCUCACUGUCUGGCGGGAACUGAGAAUAAUCAUCACCCUAAAUCUGGCCACUCCGGUUUCCUCGUCCUGGGCCAGGGCUUCUCCAACUUGGGCCCGCAUCAGAACCACCGGGAGGGCUGGGUGAAGGACCGACCGCCCCCCCCCGCCCCCCGCGGCCUCACUCCACGAUUUCUUGCGAGUUGCUUUUCCAAGAAGCCCCGAGGUGAUGCUGAGGCUGCUGGGGCCCGGGAGCCCCCCCUGAGAACCGCUGCCUUGAACGGCGCGCCUGCCCUUCCCUGCGUUUGUCCCCAGAGCCAGGUCCUCGGCGCCCUCUUUUCACAGUCGCCUUGAGGGACAGAAGGAGUUACCGUGACCGCGAAAGGCCGUCCGGGGUCUCCCCAGCCCACCCCGAGCGACCGCAGGGACAGCCAGAGGGCGGGGCGGCGGGGAAGGCCGAGGCUGGCGCCCGCGACCCCCGCGGGGACGGCGACCCGGGUCCG